ACGGCGGCGGCCAUGGCGGCGACUGCAGGCGGACUCCGGAGGGCGACUUGGCGGCCCCGCUCUUCGUGCUGCUGGCGCUUGUGCUGCCCGGCGUCUGCGGAGACUCCUCGACCGACGGUGGAGGACUAAUGUCAUGCACACGCCGUCGUUCCUGUCGUGGUUGGCGUCGCUGGUCUGCUGUUUCAUUCUGGUCAUCGCCUGUCAGCCUGAAGAGCGUUCUGCAGUGUCCUCGCGAGUUUGGACAAUUUCUGCAGAUUGGCUUCAAGUUCCCUGGCCUCUUAUCUGCUGUCUCCAGCUGCUGUUAAAAGCAUCUAGUGAAUUGUUUAAUUCAAAUAUUGUACUUUUAAAUUCCAGAA
This is a long non-coding RNA of Cynocephalus volans (Philippine flying lemur), 356 nucleotides long. RefSeq lists it as uncharacterized. Lineage: Eukaryota; Metazoa; Chordata; Mammalia; Dermoptera; Cynocephalidae. The transcript is spliced from 3 exons. The record is from RefSeq and is a predicted model, not a curated record.